RNAcentral lists this ribosomal RNA (253 nucleotides) under uncultured bacterium. RNAcentral describes it as "partial 16S ribosomal RNA". It matches the Rfam family "Bacterial small subunit ribosomal RNA", at positions 524 to 776 of the family's 1533-position model. The record is from RNAcentral.
UACAGAGGUCCCAAGCGUUGUUCGGAAUUACUGGGCGUAAAGCGUGCGUAGGCGGCGGGGUAAGUCGGGUGUGAAAUCUCAGGGCUCAACCCUGAAAUUGCAUUCGAUACUACUUUGCCUGAGCUCUGAAGAGGAGGUUGGAAUUUACGGUGUAGCGGUGAAAUGCGUAGAUAUCGGAAGGAACAUCAGUGGCGAAAGCGACUUCCUGGACCAAUACUGACACUCAAGUGCGAAAGCGUGGGGAGCAAACAGG